CCUACGGGGGGCUGCAGUCGAGAAUCAUUCACAAUGGGGGAAACCCUGAUGGUGCGACGCCGCGUGGGGGAAUGAAGGUCUUCGGAUUGUAAACCCCUGUCAUGUGGGAGCAAAUUAAAAAGAUAGUACCACAAGAGGAAGAGACGGCUAACUCUGUGCCAGCAGCCGCGGUAAUACAGAGGUCUCAAGCGUUGUUCGGAAUCACUGGGCGUAAAGCGUGCGUAGGCUGUUUCGUAAGUCGUGUGUGAAAGGCGCGGGCUCAACCCGCGGACGGCACAUGAUACUGCGAGACUAGAGUAAUGGAGGGGGAACCGGAAUUCGCGGUGUAGCAGUGAAAUGCGUAGAUAUCGAGAGGAACACUCGUGGCGAAGGCGGGUUACUGGACAUUAACUGACGCUGAGGCACGAAGGCCAGGGGAGCGAAAGGGAUUAGAUACCCCUGUAGUC
Molecule: ribosomal RNA, 446 nt
Filed under: uncultured bacterium
Lineage: Bacteria
Description: partial 16S ribosomal RNA
Rfam family: Bacterial small subunit ribosomal RNA
Source: RNAcentral